RNAcentral lists this ribosomal RNA (360 nucleotides) under uncultured microorganism. Its description in RNAcentral is "bacterial SSU rRNA". It matches the Rfam family "Archaeal small subunit ribosomal RNA", at positions 330 to 649 of the family's 1478-position model. The record is from RNAcentral.
GUGCAGCAGGCGCGAAUCCUCCGCAAUGCUCGAAAGAGCGACGGGGGACUCCGAGUGCCUACGCUUUGCGUAGGCUUUUCCAAGCCUAAAAAGCUUGGGGAAUAAGGGCUGGGUAAGACGGGUGCCAGCCGCCGCGGUAAUACCCGCAGCCCGAGUGGUGACCGCUUUUAUUGGGCCUAAAGCGUCCGUAGCCGGUCUGGUAAAUGCCGUGGGUAAAUCGUCUGGCUUAACCAGACGAAUUCCAGGUAGACUGCCAGACUAGGGACCGGAGGAAGGAGAGGGUACUCCGGGGGGUAGGGUGAAAUCAGCAAGGUGAGUUGCUGAUGUAACUUGCCUUGCAAGUCACAAUCCUGUAAUCCU